RNAcentral lists this ribosomal RNA (309 nucleotides) under uncultured bacterium. RNAcentral's name for it is "bacterial SSU rRNA". It matches the Rfam family "Bacterial small subunit ribosomal RNA", at positions 567 to 873 of the family's 1533-position model. The record is from RNAcentral.
GCUCGUAGGCGGUCUGUCGCGUCGGAUGUGAAAGCCCGGGGCUUAACCCCGGGUCUGCAUUCGAUACGGGCAGACUAGAGUGUGGUAGGGGAGAUCGGAAUUCCUGGUGUAGCGGUGAAAUGCGCAGAUAUCAGGAGGAACACCGGUGGCGAAGGCGGAUCUCUGGGCCAUUACUGACGCUGAGGAGCGAAAGCGUGGGGAGCGAACAGGAUUAGAUACCCUGGUAGUCCACGCCGUAAACGGUGGGAACUAGGUGUUGGCGACAUUCCACGUCGUCGGUGCCGCAGCUAACGCAUUAAGUUCCCCGCC